Molecule: ribosomal RNA, 254 nt
Filed under: uncultured bacterium
Lineage: Bacteria
Description: partial 16S ribosomal RNA
Rfam family: Bacterial small subunit ribosomal RNA
Source: RNAcentral
UACGUAGGGUGCGAGCGUUAAUCGGAAUUACUGGGCGUAAAGCGUGCGCAGGCGGUUAUAUAAGACAGUUGUGAAAUCCCCGGGCUCAACCCUGGGAAUUGCAUCUGUGACUGUAUAGCUAGAGUACGGUAGAGGGGGAUGGAAUUCCGCGUGUAGCAGUGAAAUGCGUAGAUAUGCGGAGGAACACCGAUGGCGAAGGCAAUCCCCUGGACCUGUACUGACGCUCAUGCACGAAAGCGUGGGGAGCAAACAGG